UCCAUUGCUAGCUAUUACAUAAGCAAGACUUCUUUACUCUAUCCGGACUCCCGUACUAUAUCCUGUACCUGUAAGCCUGGGGGAAAAGGGAGAGGGGUGAGCUAAAAGCCCAGUGAGUAGAGCUAGUAAAAACACAUUAACACUAUGCUCAAAUGGAAUGCAUCAUAACACAAACAAUUCACAUAAGGAUUGAGUGAACUCGUCACCAAUUAGUCCAAGUUAACUCUGUGCCAGGCCUGUAGAAUGGGGUCCUGGUCUUUCCUGUCAGAACAUACAUUACUUACCAUGUUCCCAGGGCCUCCUCUGGGCUCCUGGUCUUCGAGUCCCAUAACCGUACCUUACUCUGUGCCAGGCCUGUAGACUGGGGCCUGGACUUGCUUACUCUGUGCCAGGCCUGUAGCAUGGGGCCUGGUCUUCCUGUCUUGGACUAAUUGGGUCAUCCAACAUUCACCCACAACAACAACAAUUUAUGCAAUGCGGCAUAUUCGUGAAACUAAUGCAAUUAUCCUAUUGCAUAAUUAUGAUGCAUGAAACAUGAUAAAACAUUUAGUUUAGAAGAUUAAGUUUAGUUCCACUCACCUCUGGCUGACUCUGACAACACCGCAGCUGAACUCACUGCUGGGGUCCUCGGUUCCUCGGGUCCGAACCUACACAGGUGGACUCAAAUGAGGGACCAAAAAUACCUGAACAUAACUAUAAACUACUCCCCAAAAAAACCCCCUAAAACAUCCUGAAAACAUCACAGAAAAUAUGCAUGAAAUGGCUGAACAGGGCACUUUCGGCGGCACCUUCGGCGGCCGAAAGUCCUGGACAGAGACGAAACUCAGGCAGGUUCGGCGGCACCUUCGGCGGCCGAAAGUCCCAGACAGAGACGAAAGUCUCUUUUCGGGGGCAACUUCGGCAGCCGAAUGGCCUGCCUCCCCAGCCAUGUUCGGCGGCCGAAAGUACCUUCGGCUGCCGAACCUGGUUUCUGCCAAAGGGCAGAAACUUGGC
This 993-nucleotide long non-coding RNA is filed under the name Manihot esculenta (cassava). Its description in RNAcentral is "long non-coding RNA (MESC_LNC000109)". Lineage: Eukaryota; Viridiplantae; Streptophyta; Magnoliopsida; Malpighiales; Euphorbiaceae. The record is from RNAcentral.